RNAcentral lists this microRNA (22 nucleotides) under Drosophila melanogaster (fruit fly). RNAcentral describes it as "dme-miR-3641-3p". The record is from miRBase by way of RNAcentral. Lineage: Eukaryota; Metazoa; Arthropoda; Insecta; Diptera; Drosophilidae.
UCUAAACUGGUCACUUCCACUC